RNAcentral lists this long non-coding RNA (500 nucleotides) under Olea europaea (common olive). RNAcentral describes it as "long non-coding RNA (OEUR_LNC003065)". The record is from RNAcentral. Lineage: Eukaryota; Viridiplantae; Streptophyta; Magnoliopsida; Lamiales; Oleaceae.
CUAUGAUUAAGGAUUAUUAUUUGACCACAUGCAUUAUUCACCACAUUUUAAGCAAAGUAAUUGCUUUGACCACAUAAACUAAGGUAAUUGAUUAGACCACAUGCAUUAUUUACAACAAAAUUCAAGUCGAGUCAAUUGAUUUGAUCACAUGAUUAAAGGAAUUGAUUUGACAACUUUCAAGAUAUGCACCAAUUAUGCUUUGACCAUACCUAACAUAUAGUCAUUUCCUUUCAAUUUUCCGUACAUGGUCCAAGAACUUGCACUAUAAAUAGGAGUUAAACUGAAUACCGAAUUAUCCCUCACCAAUUAUUUACACUCUUCCUCUCUCUCUCUAUCACUUUGUCUCUACACCUUUACUCUUUCUCUUGUCUUUUUCAUAUUAAAUUUAGUUACACACUUACACAAUCACACAACCUAACACGGGCUCAAGGAUCUCCCUCCAACAAUCACUUCUAUCAUUUUUGAAUUAUCAAGUGAAAGGUAAAUGUAGUAAUACGAAU